CGGCAACAGCUCAAAUUUGAAAUCUGGCCUCUCGGGGUCCGAGUUGUAAUUUGUAGAGGAUGUUUUGGGUACCGCCCCGGUCUAAAUUUCUUGGAACAGAAUGUCAGAGAGGGUGAGAACCCCGUCAGGUUAAAUAUCUUAACCAUGUGUUGCUCCUUCGAC
This 162-nucleotide ribosomal RNA is filed under the name Phialophora verrucosa. RNAcentral describes it as "partial large subunit ribosomal RNA". Lineage: Eukaryota; Fungi; Ascomycota; Eurotiomycetes; Chaetothyriales; Herpotrichiellaceae. The record is from RNAcentral.